UUUAACAGGAAAGUUACUAUCCAGAAAUUAACCCACAAAGGUGGGAAGAGUAUUUACCCGCUAAUCUCUUUAUUCCCUCGCCUGACAAAAUAUCUGCAUUCCUGGGCGGCCUCAAGAAAUGAACUACAGACAUCUAUUCCCUUUGUGAUACCUCCUUGGAAUCAAAGUGUGGAGUGUAACAAUGUGCCUCCACACACUCACACUAGUUGAUGCUUCAUCUUGGUGAAAUCAAGUUUUUGGAAUUACCUUUCCUAAGAUCAUUCUAUUCACAGAGAAGGAGCUUAAUGUAAGUGAAAUUUUGUAAAAACCAAAGGAAACUAUGGUGGAUGUAUUCUAGACAGAAGAAGGAUUAAACCAAGAUAAAAACAAUGUGAAUGAGGAAAGUGGGAGUAACAGGGAUUCCAAGAGAAAGAUUUUCCAUUUGUCAAAAAUGAGGAGUACUAAUCAGUAGUGCUAUGGAAACAAGACACUAACAGUUAUAGUCCGGAAGAAGAGAUGAUAACAUCUGUCCCUAAAAAGAGGUAAAUUCAUUUUAAAAUGACUGCUUACGAUUAUUACUUGUUAUGGUUUUGAUUAAUUUAUCAAAGAACUCAGAUGAUGUUAUAACACCUGCUACCAGAAUUCCUCUCAGGGCAGGAUAAUCUUGGUUUGCCGAAAUACUUUUUUAGCCACUUGGGAGAGAAGUUGAAAUUUGAAGAGCAUUGUCUUGGUAGAAAUCUCUUAAAGAAUACAAUGAUUAAACUGGCUUGCAGGAGAAAUCCAGAAGAAGUUUAUUUUCUUCCUGUGAAGGAAUGAGAGAAAAAUUAAAAGUAAUGUAGAAAAAAGAAAGGGAUAAUAAAGGAACUAGAUAUAUGGAAUGGGUUAAGAGAAAUACAGAGAAAGCCCAUUGAAAAAACAAGGUGGUGUAAUAGAAAAAACUUUAUUUUAAGCAAAGACGCAUAUAAUUUUUAAGAUUCUGUUUUGGGCUGAACAUCAGCAAAAUGGUAGAAUAGGGUUUUCCACUCCUUGUCCUACUGCAUAAACAUCAACUUGAACAACUAUCUGAAACACACACAAAAAAACCAUCACAGAGCUAAGGAAACCAGAAGAGAAAUUAUAGCACCUGAGUGUAGCACAGAAAUAAGAAAAAAAUGCAUCAAAGAGGAUAGAAAGGACAGUCAUGCGUUACUU
Molecule: long non-coding RNA, 1170 nt
Filed under: Homo sapiens (human)
Lineage: Eukaryota; Metazoa; Chordata; Mammalia; Primates; Hominidae
Description: HSALNT0369248
Source: RNAcentral